This 430-nucleotide ribosomal RNA is filed under the name Pseudomonadota bacterium. Its description in RNAcentral is "Proteobacteria bacterium partial 16S ribosomal RNA". It matches the Rfam family "Bacterial small subunit ribosomal RNA", at positions 355 to 776 of the family's 1533-position model. The record is from RNAcentral. Lineage: Bacteria; Pseudomonadati; Pseudomonadota.
UGGGGAAUAUUGGACAAUGGGGGGAACCCUGAUCCAGCCAUGCCGCGUGUGUGAAGAAGGCCUUAUGGUUGUAAAGCACUUUAAGCGAGGAGGAGGGUACUGGUAUUAAUACUACCAGGUACUGGACGUUACUCGCAGAAUAAGCACCGGCUAACUCUGUGCCAGCAGCCGCGGUAAUACAGAGGGUGCGAGCGUUAAUCGGAUUUACUGGGCGUAAAGCGUGCGUAGGCGGCUAAUUGAGUCGGAUGUGAAAUCCCCGAGAUUAACUGGGGAAUUGCAUUCGAUACUGGUUAGCUAGAGUGUGGGAGAGGAUGGUAGAAUUCCAGGUGUAGCGGUGAAAUGCGUAGAGAUCUGGAAGAAUACCGAUGGCGAAGGCAGCCAUCUGGCCUAACACUGACGCUGAGGUACGAAAGCAUGGGGAGCAAACAGG